GCAAGUCGUGCGAGAAAGGGAGCAAUCCUGAGUAAAGCGGCGAACGGGUGAGUAACACGUGGUUAACCUGCCUAGAUGUGGGGGAUACCCCGGGGAAACCCGGGACAAUACCGCAUGAUGUCUCUCGGGCGUCGGCCUGGGAGAGCAAAGCCGGGGACCGCAAGGCCUGGCGCAUUCAGAGGGGACCGCGGCCGAUUAGCUAGUUGGCGGGGUAAUGGCCCACCAAGGCAUCGAUCGGUAGCCGGCCUGAGAGGGUGAACGGCCACACCGGAACUGAGACACGGUCCGGACUCCUACGGGAGGCAGCAGUGGGGAAUUUUGCGCAAUGGGCGAAAGCCUGACGCAGCAACGCCGCGUGGAGGAUGAAGGUGCUCUGCAUUGUAAACUCCUGUCGGCCGGGAAGAAUCGGCGGGGUGCUAAUCAGCCCCGUUUUGACUGUACCGGCAAAGGAAGCCCCGGCUAACUCCGUGCCAGCAGCCGCGGUAAUACGGAGGGGGCAAGCGUUACUCGGAAUUAUUGGGCGUAAAGGGCGCGUAGGCGGUCUUGUGCGUCGAGGGUGAAAUCCCCGGGCUUAACCCGGGAACUGCCUUCGAUACGGCGAGACUUGAGUCCGGGAGAGGGGAGCAGAAUUCCCAGUGUAGCGGUGAAAUGCGUAGAUAUUGGGAGGAAUACCAGUGGCGAAGGCGGCUCCCUGGACCGGUACUGACGCUGAGGCGCGAAAGCGUGGGUAGCAAACAGGAUUAGAUACCCUGGUAGUCCACGCCGUAAACGAUGGGUGCUUGGUGUCGGGGGUAUCGACCCCUCCGGUGCCGAAGCUAACGCAUUAAGCACCCCGCCUGGGGAGUACGGUCGCAAGGCUGAAACUCAAAUGAAUUGACGG
This 880-nucleotide ribosomal RNA is filed under the name uncultured bacterium. RNAcentral's name for it is "bacterial SSU rRNA". It matches the Rfam family "Bacterial small subunit ribosomal RNA", at positions 57 to 916 of the family's 1533-position model. The record is from RNAcentral.